This 534-nucleotide long non-coding RNA is filed under the name Penaeus japonicus. RNAcentral's name for it is "uncharacterized LOC122266045". Lineage: Eukaryota; Metazoa; Arthropoda; Malacostraca; Decapoda; Penaeidae. The record is from RNAcentral.
GGCGAUCGUAACUGUCAAGCCCGAUGCGUCAUAGCGGUCCCACGUGAUACGAACAUCCGUCGGGAACCUCAGAUGUCCACCCCGUCCUGUGUCAACGCCGAGACGCAUGUUAAGAUCGGCGUAAUAGGCCCCGCGGUGGUGAGAACAGAAGAGCUACUAACCACCGAGUCAUAAAAAACGAACCACGAGACAAACAAGACUAACUCGAGGGUUCAGGGUCUUCUUAAUAAUCCCUUCCUCCAGGGCUUGUACACACGUCCCACUUAGAUCAAAUGGCAAAAAUAACGGUCUGGAAACCCCUGGAAGGAGAAAGACCUGCAAAACCAACCCUCAUUAGUUCCAGCAACACUCCGCCGCCCACACCAACCUCGCCUUGGAAACGUGUUGUGCUACAUCUCGCGCCGGCAUCCUGGUGAACACCCACGCUGAUGCUAGGACAUGAUACCCCGAACCGAGAUCAGGAAACUUCGCUCGAAUGCACCUGAGUCGUCACGCGUGCAUACUUUUUUUUCUCGUGUACUAUCACUCAAAAUA